Molecule: small nuclear RNA, 114 nt
Organism: Oryzias sinensis (Chinese medaka)
Lineage: Eukaryota; Metazoa; Chordata; Actinopteri; Beloniformes; Adrianichthyidae
Gene: U5
Rfam family: U5 spliceosomal RNA
About the family: U5 RNA is a component of both types of known spliceosome. The precise function of this molecule is unknown, though it is known that the 5' loop is required for splice site selection and p220 binding, and that both the 3' stem-loop and the Sm site are important for Sm protein binding and cap methylation.
Source: Ensembl
GCACUUUUGUUUCUCUUCAGAUCGUAUAAAUCUUUCGCCUUUUACUAAAGAUUUCCGUGGGGAGGAACAACAAGAGUUUGAUUCAAUUUUUUGAUGCCCUGCAUUAGUAGGGCU